CCAGUCGCCGUAGGUAGCACGCUCCCCCUCUUCCUCCUCCCAAAGUCCACCGCCCAUGCCGAGCAACCGAAUCGGGAUCGAUCGCUCGUCUCCUCCCCUCCCCGUCGCCGCCGCCUCGGGCUCGCUUGGUGCAGAUCGGGACCCUCAGCCCGCCCCGACGGGCCGGAUCCCGCCUUGCACCAAGUGAAUCGGAGCCGGCGCAGCGACCACGCCGCCGCUUUCGCCGUCUCUCCGCGCCCCGAAUUGGUCGAUUCUCUGGCGCCGUUGGUUUCGGCUGGUUCGAUCGGUCCGAGGCUGGUGGUUGGUUGCUGCUACUCGCUGCCGAUUUUUAUGCGCGAUUCCGUAUGUUCGCUCGUGCCCGUGGCGUGCCUCUGAUAUUUGCAAAAUUCGCUAGAUCUAGAUCCGGUGCCUAGCUUUAAUUGUUGCCUGCUUGAUCUGACGGAUUUUUUGUUGCCAAGCAAGAUCUAAUCCAUAUUUUUUGUCAGGAUUCGUGCCACGCUAUGGUGCAAGUUGCGCCCCAAAUUGUGUUGCAGGGGAGGCCGUGGUACGCUAUGAGAUGGUUCGAAUUAGCUAGUCGUGACGCGAAUUUCGAUUUGGAUCAUGUGGCAGGUCUUGUGUAUGGUACUAGUAGAUUCAGUAUUUGGCCUGAUUGAACUGUGGAGAACAUUUAUUGAUGUAGAUAGAUACUGGUAUAUAAUUUUACUACUUGUAGUAUGGGCGUAUCUCUGGCUAGCAGCUCUGUACUCUGCAGGAUACUGGGAAUUGUGGUGGACUCUUUUGGGAGGAUACACGAGCUGCAUGUGUCUCCAUAUGCUUUAUUUAGCACGUUUGCUGUAGUCUGAUGUGAAUUGUCUUCAGGGCAGAUGCUAAUUCCAGAGAUUUGAAACCUGUAAGGUCUACAGUAGGCUUGUUCUGUUCAUCUGGGGAUUUUCAGCCUUUUGAUUCAAGACCUACCUGUAAGGUUUGAGCUUUGAUUUGUCAAAAGCUUAAACCUUAUUCAGCAAUGAUGAAGUGGAUAGGCACAAGUAUCAAAGUUUACAUAGGGAUAGGGGGUGCAGGGAGCUAUUUUAUUUUUUGUAUGGUUUUAACUAGUACUAAUCUCGAUCCCAUCUGUGAAUCUUGAUAGGAGCAAAAGAUGUAGGUUUCCAAAGGUUUUUGAAAGUGUGCCAAGUUUGUACUUGUUUCUGUUGCUUCCUGGAUGUGUCACUAGUUAUGCUGUACCAUGUGGUCAUUGGUUGUAUCAGAAUGAACUUGCAACCUGGUUCUGGUUUUGAGCAAACAGUUGUGUAAUGGGCUGAAGCAAUAGCAAAAGAGAAAAGUGAGUUUCAAACAGUGAACUGGUCGAAUCCAAAGCGACUCUUACGUUGUAUCCAACUUCAGAUUAGAUGUUUAAUCAUUCCCUGGCUUGUCAACAGUUUUUCCUCUGGGAUGAAUUGACAGUGCACGUCUGAUUGUUGGGACGUGAGUUUUCCUG
This 1474-nucleotide ribosomal RNA is filed under the name Triticum aestivum (bread wheat). RNAcentral describes it as "partial small subunit ribosomal RNA". The stretch from base 104 to 206 matches the Rfam family "MIR168 microRNA precursor family". Lineage: Eukaryota; Viridiplantae; Streptophyta; Magnoliopsida; Poales; Poaceae. The record is from RNAcentral.